Salvelinus fontinalis (brook trout) is the source of this 1367-nucleotide long non-coding RNA. RefSeq lists it as uncharacterized. The record is from RefSeq and is a predicted model, not a curated record. The transcript is spliced from 4 exons. Lineage: Eukaryota; Metazoa; Chordata; Actinopteri; Salmoniformes; Salmonidae.
AAUAUCCCACGCCUGGUAGCAGCUAGAUAGGUUUAAUAUCCCACGCCUGGUAGCAGCUAGAUAGGUUUAAUAUCCCUCGUCAAAUAGCAGCUAGAUAGGUUUAAUAUCCCACGCCUGGUAGCAGCUAGAUAGGUUUAAUAUCCCACGCCAGGUAGCAGCUAGAUAGGUUUAAUAUCCCACGCCAGGUAGCAGCUAGAUAGGUUUAAUAUCCCACUCCUGGUAGCAGCUAGAUAGGUUUAAUAUCCCACGCCUGGUAGCAGCUAGAUAGGUUUAAUAUCCCACUCCUGGUAGCAGCUAGAUAGGUUUAAUAUCCCACGCCUGGUAGCAGCUAGAUAGGUUUAAUAUCCCACGCCUGGUAGCAGCUAGAUAGGUUUAAUAUCCCACUCCUGGUAGCAGCUAGAUAGGUUUAAUAUCCCACUCCUGGUAGCAGCUAGAUAGGUUUAAUAUCCCACGCCUGGUAGCAGCUAGAUAGGUUUAAUACCCCACGCCUGAUAGCAGCUAGAUAGGUUUAAUAUCCCACGCCUGGUAGCAGCUAGAUAGGUUUAAUAUCCCACGCCUGGUAGCAGCUAGAUAGGUUUAAUAUCCCACGCCUGGUAGCAGCUAGAUAGGUUUAAUAUCCCACUCCUGGUAGCAGCUAGAUAGGUUUAAUAUCCCACGCCUGGUAGCAGCUAGAUAGGUUUAAUACCCCACGCCUGAUAGCAGCUAGAUAGGUUUAAUAUCCCACGCCUGGUAGCAGCUAGAUAGGUUUAAUAUCCCACUCCUGGUAGCAGCUAGAUAGGUUUAAUAUCCCACGCCUGGUAGCAGCUAGAUAGGUUUAAUAUCCCACUCCUGGUAGCAGCUAGAUAGGUUUAAUAUCCCACGCCUGGUAGCAGCUAGAUAGGUUUAAUACCCCACGCCUGAUAGCAGCUAGAUAGGUUUAAUAUCCCACGCCUGGUAGCAGCUAGAUAGGUUUAAUAUCCCACUCCUGGUAGCAGCUAGAUAGGUUUAAUAUCCCACGCCUGGUAGCAGCUAGAUAGGUUUAAUAUCCCACUCCUGGUAGCAGCUAGAUAGGUUUAAUAUCCCACGCCUGAUAGCAGCUAGAUAGGUUUAAUAUCCCACGCCUGGUAGCAGCUAGAUAGGUUUAAUAUCCCACUCCUGGUAGCAGCUAGAUAGGUUUAAUAUCCCACUCCUGGUAGCAGCUAGAUAGGUUUAAUAUCCCACGCCUGGUAGCAGCUAGAUAGGUUUAAUAUCCCACGCCUGGUAGCAGCUAGAUAGGUUUAAUAUCCCACGCCUGAUAGCAGCUAGAUAGGUUUAAUAUCCCACGCCUGGUAGCAGCUAGAUAGGUUUAAUAUCCCACGCCUGGUAGCAGCUAGAUAGGUUUAAUAUCC